RNAcentral lists this ribosomal RNA (465 nucleotides) under uncultured bacterium. RNAcentral describes it as "partial 16S ribosomal RNA". It matches the Rfam family "Bacterial small subunit ribosomal RNA", at positions 338 to 795 of the family's 1533-position model. The record is from RNAcentral.
CCUACGGGUGGCAGCAGUGGGGAAUAUUGCGCAAUGGGCGAAAGCCUGACGCAGCGACGCCGCGUGAGGGAUGAAGGACUUCGGAACGUAAAGCUCUGUCAGCAGGGAAGAACGGUCACGGUGCUAAUCAGCAGUGAAUUGACGGUACCGGGAAAGGAAGCACCGGCUAACUCCGUGCCAGCAGCCGCGGUAAUACGGAGGGGGCGAGCGUUAAUCGGAAUUACUGGGCGUAAAGCGCUCGUAGGCGGUACGGCAAGUCAAGGGUGAAAUCCCCGCGCUCAACGUGGGAACUGCCUUUGAAACUGGCAAACUGGAGUGUGUGAGAGGAUAGUGGAAUUCCAGGUGUAGCGGUGAAAUCCGUAGAUAUCUGGAGGAACAUCAGUGGCGAAGGCGACUAUCUGGCACAUAACUGACGCUGAGGAGCGAAAGCGUGGGUAGCAAACAGGAUUAGAUACCCGUGUAGUC